RNAcentral lists this ribosomal RNA (253 nucleotides) under uncultured bacterium. RNAcentral's name for it is "partial 16S ribosomal RNA". It matches the Rfam family "Bacterial small subunit ribosomal RNA", at positions 524 to 776 of the family's 1533-position model. The record is from RNAcentral.
UACGGAGGGUGCAAGCGUUAUCCGGAUUCACUGGGUUUAAAGGGUGCGUAGGUGGGCAGGUAAGUCAGUGGUGAAAUCUCCGGGCUUAACCCGGAAACUGCCGUUGAUACUAUCUGUCUUGAAUAUAGUGGAGGUGAGCGGAAUAUGUCAUGUAGCGGUGAAAUGCUUAGAUAUGAUAUAGAACACCGAUUGCGAAGGCAGCUCACUAAGCAGGCAUUGACGCUGAGGCACGAAAGCGUGGGGAUCAAACAGG